Molecule: ribosomal RNA, 508 nt
Filed under: uncultured bacterium
Lineage: Bacteria
Description: partial 16S ribosomal RNA
Rfam family: Bacterial small subunit ribosomal RNA
Source: RNAcentral
GACGAACGCUGGCGGCGUGCUUAACACAUGCAAGUCGAACGGGCCUUGUCCCCUUUUUUUUUGGGGGUGGGGUUAGUGGCGAACGGGUGAGUAACACGUGAGUAACCUGCCCCUCACUUCUGGAUAACCGCUUGAAAGGGUGGCUAAUACGGGGUGUUCUGGCCUGCUCGCAUGGGUGGGUUUGGAAAGAUUCGACCGGUUUUGGUUGUUUUGGUGGGGGAUGGGCUCGCGGCCUAUCAGCUUGUUGGUGGGGUGAUGGCCUGCCUAGGCUUUGACGGGUAGCCGGCCUGAGAGGGUGGGCGGUCACACUGGGACUGAGACACGGCCCAGACUCCUACGGGAGGCAGCAGUGGGGAAUAUUGCACAAUGGGCGCAAGCCUGAUGCAGCGACGCCGCGUGAGGGAUGGAGGCCUUCGGGUUGUGAACCUCUUUCGCCAGUGAAGAAGGUCCUGCUCUUUGUGGUGGGGUUGACGGUAGCUGGGUUAAUGAAGCGCCGGCUAACUACGUG